CAGGAAGACGGCCUUAUGGGUUGUAAACUGCUUUUAUACGGGAGCAAUAAGGGUUACGAGUAAUCCGAUGAGAGUACUGUAUGAAUAAGGAUCGGCUAACUCCGUGCCAGCAGCCGCGGUAAUACGGAGGAUCCGAGCGUUAUCCGGAAUUAUUGGGUUUAAAGGGUGCGUAGGCGGCCAUUUAAGUCAGCGGUGAAAUUUUGCAGCUUAACUGUAACAGUGCCGUUGAUACUGUUUGGCUAGGAUUUGGUUGUAGUGUGCGGAAUGUGUGGUGUAGCGGUGAAAUGCUUAGAUAUCACACAGAACACCGAUUGCGAAGGCAGCACACUAAGUCAUUAUUGACGCUGAGGCACGAAAGUGUGGGGAUCAAAAAGGACUAGAUACCCUGGUAGUCCACACUGUAAUCCUCCAAAGGCGCUGUCGCCGAUACACAGUCGGUGGCCAAGCGAAAAGCAUUAAGUUAUCCACCUGGGGAGUACGACCGCAAGGUUGAAACUCAAAGGAAUUGACGGGGGCCCGCACAAGCGGAGGAACAUGUGGUUUAAUUCGAUGAUACGCGAGGAACCUUACCCGGGCUCGAACGGUGCAUGAAUAUACGAGAGAUUGUAUAGUCCUUCGGGACAUGUAUCGAGGUGCUGCAUGGUUGUCGUCAGCUCGUGCCGUGAGGUGUCGGCUUAAGUGCCAUAACGAGCGCAACCCUUGUCAUUAGUUGCCAUCAGGUCAAGCUGGGGACUUUAAUGAGACUGCCACCGUAAGGUGUGAGGAAGGGGGGAUGACGUCAAAUCAGCACGGCCCUUAUGUCCGGGGCGACACACGUGUUACAAUGGGAGGUACAGAGGGCAGCUAUCCGGUGACGGAAUGCUAAUCUCCAAAACCUUUCUCAGUUCGGAUUGGAGUCUGCAACUCGACUCCAUGAAGGUGGAUUCGCUAGUAAUCGCGCAUCAGCCAUGGCGCGGUGAAUACGUUCCCGGGCCUUGCACACACCCCUCGUCAAG
RNAcentral lists this ribosomal RNA (995 nucleotides) under uncultured bacterium. RNAcentral describes it as "bacterial SSU rRNA". It matches the Rfam family "Bacterial small subunit ribosomal RNA", at positions 404 to 1401 of the family's 1533-position model. The record is from RNAcentral.